RNAcentral lists this ribosomal RNA (509 nucleotides) under Bacillus sp. V3-167. Its description in RNAcentral is "bacterial SSU rRNA". It matches the Rfam family "Bacterial small subunit ribosomal RNA", at positions 1 to 495 of the family's 1533-position model. Lineage: Bacteria; Bacillati; Bacillota; Bacilli; Caryophanales; Bacillaceae. The record is from RNAcentral.
UUUAGAGUUUGAUCAGGGCUCAGGAGGAACGCUGGCGGCGUGCCUAAUACAUGCAAGUUCGAGCGGAUUGAUGGGGAGCUUGCUCCCUGAUAUCAGCGGCGGACGGGUGAGUAACACGUGGGUAACCUGCCUGUAAGACUGGGAUAACUCCGGGAAACCGGGGCUAAUACCGGAUAACUCAUUUCCUCGCAUGAGGAAAUGUUGAAAGGUGGCUUUUAGCUAUCACUUACAGAUGGACCCGCGGCGCAUUAGCUAGUUGGUGAGGUAACGGCUCACCAAGGCAACGAUGCGUAGCCGACCUGAGAGGGUGAUCGGCCACACUGGGACUGAGACACGGCCCAGACUCCUACGGGAGGCAGCAGUAGGGAAUCUUCCGCAAUGGACGAAAGUCUGACGGAGCAACGCCGCGUGAGUGAUGAAGGUUUUCGGAUCGUAAAGCUCUGUUGUUACCUAAGAACAAGAGCCGUUCGAAUAGGGCGGCACCUGACGGACCUAACCAGAAAGUCACG